UUAGCGGCGCUUUUUAGCGCCACUAACGCAAAAAAUGCCGCUAACG
Gossypium raimondii (Peruvian cotton) is the source of this 46-nucleotide non-coding RNA. The record is from Rfam. Lineage: Eukaryota; Viridiplantae; Streptophyta; Magnoliopsida; Malvales; Malvaceae.